GGUGGGGUGUCCGAGCGGUUUAAGGAGACAGUCUUGAAAACUGUUAUACUCGCAAGAGUAUCGUGGGUUCGAAUCCCACCCCCACCGCCA
Molecule: transfer RNA, 90 nt
Filed under: Patescibacteria group bacterium
Lineage: Bacteria
Description: tRNA-Ser
Rfam family: tRNA
About the family: Transfer RNA (tRNA) molecules are approximately 80 nucleotides in length. Their secondary structure includes four short double-helical elements and three loops (D, anti-codon, and T loops).
Source: RNAcentral